This 558-nucleotide ribosomal RNA is filed under the name uncultured Hyphomicrobiales bacterium. RNAcentral describes it as "bacterial SSU rRNA". It matches the Rfam family "Bacterial small subunit ribosomal RNA", at positions 102 to 694 of the family's 1533-position model. The record is from RNAcentral. Lineage: Bacteria; Pseudomonadati; Pseudomonadota; Alphaproteobacteria; Hyphomicrobiales.
ACGGGUGAGUAACGCGUGGGAACAUACCCAACUCUACGGAAUAACUCAGGGAAACUUGUGCUAAUACCGUAUACGCCCUUCGGGGGAAAGAUUUAUCGGAGUUGGAUUGGCCCGCGUUGGAUUAGCUAGUUGGUGGGGUAAAGGCCUACCAAGGCGACGAUCCAUAGCUGGUCUGAGAGGAUGAUCAGCCACAUUGGGACUGAGACACGGCCCAAACUCCUACGGGAGGCAGCAGUGGGGAAUAUUGGACAAUGGGCGCAAGCCUGAUCCAGCCAUGCCGCGUGUGUGAUGAAGGCCUUAGGGUUGUAAAGCACUUUCACCGGAGAAGAUAAUGACGGUAUCCGGAGAAGAAGCCCCGGCUAACUUCCUGCCAGCAGCCGCGGUAAUACGAAGGGGGCUAGCGUUGUUCGGAAUUACUGGGCGUAAAGCGCACGUAGGCGGAUCGAUCAGUCAGGGUUGAAAUCGCAUAGCUCAACUCUGGAACUGCCUUUGAUACUGUCGGUCUAGAGUAUGGAAGAAGUGAGUGGAAUUCCGAGUGUAGAGGUUCAAUUCGGUAGA